RNAcentral lists this ribosomal RNA (253 nucleotides) under uncultured bacterium. RNAcentral's name for it is "partial 16S ribosomal RNA". It matches the Rfam family "Bacterial small subunit ribosomal RNA", at positions 524 to 776 of the family's 1533-position model. RNAcentral also lists the same sequence under 2 other names. The record is from RNAcentral.
UACGGAGGGUGCAAGCGUUGUUCGGAAUUAUUGGGCGUAAAGGGCGUGUAGGCGGUUUUUUAAGUCUGAUGUGAAAGCCCCGGGCUCAACCUGGGAAGUGCAUUGGAAACUGGAAGACUUGAGUACGGGAGAGGGCAGUGGAAUUCCUGGUGUAGGAGUGAAAUCCGUAGAUAUCAGGAGGAACACCGGUGGCGAAGGCGGCUGCCUGGACCGAUACUGACGCUGAGACGCGAAAGCGUGGGGAGCAAACAGG